GUAGGUGGCAAGCGUUGUCCGGAAUUAUUGGGCGUAAAGCGCGCGCAGGCGGGUCCUUUAAGUCUGAUGUGAAAGCCCACGGGCUCAACCGUGGAGGGUCAUUGGAAACUGGGGGACUUGAGUACAGAAGAGGAAAGCGGAAUUCCAAGUGUAGCGGUGAAAUGCGUAGAGAUUUGGAGGAACACCAGUGGCGAAGGCGGCUUUCUGGUCUGUAACUGACGCUGAGGCGCGAAAGCGUGGGGAGCAAACAGGAUUAGAUACCCUGGUAGUCCACGCCGUAAACGAUGGGUGCCAAGUGUUAGGGGGGUUUCCGCCCCUUAGUGCUGCAGCUAACGCAUUAAGCACUCCGCCUGGGGAGUACGGCCGCAAAGGCUGA
This 376-nucleotide ribosomal RNA is filed under the name uncultured organism. RNAcentral describes it as "partial 16S ribosomal RNA". It matches the Rfam family "Bacterial small subunit ribosomal RNA", at positions 527 to 897 of the family's 1533-position model. The record is from RNAcentral.